Molecule: non-coding RNA, 905 nt
Organism: Vicugna pacos (alpaca)
Lineage: Eukaryota; Metazoa; Chordata; Mammalia; Artiodactyla; Camelidae
Source: RefSeq, a predicted model, not a curated record
UUUAGACGUGUGCUCUACCAAAUUGAGAAAGAAGCAUUUCUGUUUUCUUGUUUAUCAGAUGAGCCUGAAUACCUUAUAGAUGGUGAUUGUUGAAGAGUUGGGGUCUAGCUAUGGUUGCCCGAGCACUCUGCGUAGGACAUGCACUUGUUGAGUUAAAGAACCCUUAAAAAAAAAAAAAAAGGUGAUAUUCCUAGUCUGCACCAACUGCCAGGAUAGCACUAGUUUACAGAAUACUUAGAUUGAUUUUCCUUAAUUAUAAAUUUAUAGUAGAAGAGAUAAAGGGAUUGGAAAUGUGCUGUAAUUUGCUUCUGUAAAAAUCCCAGACUGUUCAGUGAAACAAAAGAACAGGAUGUCACUUGUGAAAUGGUAGGACUAGACAGCUAGAGCCUUUUGCAAAAAUAGAUUUUGUCAUGGGCAGUAGAUUUCUAAAAGGCUCCCAGUCCCUUGGUCCUGUUGCUAGGAUUAAGCCUUUUUGCAUUGCAGCAUGGAGAGGCUUUCAUUUGAGUUAAAUUCAGCCUUCUUGGUAUGUCACCUGAUGGUCUUGUGGUUUCAGAUGAAUAUGGUUCAUUGCUAUUAUUAACCUGACUUGGCAGUUGUGCAUAACUGGACUUUUAAGUGAGUUUGAAGAGUGGAAUUGCUUAAGAGAAAUAGAGAUGCUACUGGCAUACAGCUUAACUUAAAAUGCUAUUUUCAAAUGUUAACAUCAGAAUCUACCCAAAUCUAAUUAUGAAUUUAAUGAUGUAACAAUUUAAUCAGAGAUUAAAGAGAUUUUAGGUGUAUAUAUAUAAAAGUUGAAUAAAAUUAUGGUAAUAAAUAUAAUUAGAAGGACUUCUUGAGAGUGUUUUGAGCAGGUGGUAAUCAUUAUUUUAAAAUAUCUAAUUUAUAAAUGUUAUAUGUUAGUCUUU